UACGGAGGGAGCUAGCGUUGUUCGGAAUUACUGGGCGUAAAGGGCAUGUAGGCGGCCCGCUAAGUUGGAAGUGAAAUCCCGGAGCUUAACUCCGGAAUUGCUUUCAAAACUGGCAGGCUAGAGAAUGGUAGAGGAUGAUGGAAUUCCUAGUGUAGAGGUAAAAUUCGUAGAUAUUAGGAGGAACACCAGUGGCGAAGGCGAUCAUCUGGGCCAUUUCUGACGCUGAGAUGCGAAAGCGUGGGGAGCAAACAGG
This 253-nucleotide ribosomal RNA is filed under the name uncultured bacterium. Its description in RNAcentral is "partial 16S ribosomal RNA". It matches the Rfam family "Bacterial small subunit ribosomal RNA", at positions 524 to 776 of the family's 1533-position model. The record is from RNAcentral.